CAAACGACUCUCGGCAACGGAUAUCUCGGCUCACGCAUCGAUGAAGAACGUAGCAAAAUGCGAUACUUGGUGUGAAUUGCAGAAUCCCGUGAACCAUCGAGUUUUUGAACGCAAGUUGCGCCCAACGCCUUUCGGCUGAGGGCACGUCUGCCUGGGCGUCACAC
RNAcentral lists this ribosomal RNA (164 nucleotides) under Psacalium cirsiifolium. Its description in RNAcentral is "5.8S ribosomal RNA". It matches the Rfam family "5.8S ribosomal RNA". From Rfam's summary of the family: 5.8S ribosomal RNA (5.8S rRNA) is a component of the large subunit of the eukaryotic ribosome. It is transcribed by RNA polymerase I as part of the 45S precursor that also contains 18S and 28S rRNA. Lineage: Eukaryota; Viridiplantae; Streptophyta; Magnoliopsida; Asterales; Asteraceae. The record is from RNAcentral. RNAcentral also lists the same sequence under 1 other name.